UACGAUGAAGAGUUUGAUCCUGGCUCAGGAUGAACGCUAGCGGCAGGCUUAACACAUGCAAGUCGAGGGGUAUAGUUCUUCGGAACUAGAGACCGGCGCACGGGUGCGUAACGCGUAUGCAAUCUACCUUUUACAGAGGGAUAGCCCAGAGAAAUUUGGAUUAAUACCUCAUAGUAUGUGAGAAUGGCAUCAUUUUCACAUUAAAGUCACAACGGUAAAAGAUGAGCAUGCGUCCCAUUAGCUAGUUGGUAAGGUAACGGCUUACCAAGGCUACGAUGGGUAGGGGUCCUGAGAGGGAGAUCCCCCACACUGGUACUGAGACACGG
RNAcentral lists this ribosomal RNA (326 nucleotides) under Flavobacterium sp. A45. RNAcentral describes it as "bacterial SSU rRNA". It matches the Rfam family "Bacterial small subunit ribosomal RNA", at positions 1 to 329 of the family's 1533-position model. The record is from RNAcentral. Lineage: Bacteria; Pseudomonadati; Bacteroidota; Flavobacteriia; Flavobacteriales; Flavobacteriaceae.